RNAcentral lists this ribosomal RNA (1449 nucleotides) under Klebsiella pneumoniae. Its description in RNAcentral is "bacterial SSU rRNA". It matches the Rfam family "Bacterial small subunit ribosomal RNA". Lineage: Bacteria; Pseudomonadati; Pseudomonadota; Gammaproteobacteria; Enterobacterales; Enterobacteriaceae. The record is from RNAcentral.
UGGGCCUUGGCGGCAGGCUACCAUGCAAGUCGAGCGGUAGCACAGAGAGCUUGCUCUCGGGUGACGAGCGGCGGACGGGUGAGUAAUGUCUGGGAAACUGCCUGAUGGAGGGGGAUAACUACUGGAAACGGUAGCUAAUACCGCAUAACGUCGCAAGACCAAAGUGGGGGACCUUCGGGCCUCAUGCCAUCAGAUGUGCCCAGAUGGGAUUAGCUAGUAGGUGGGGUAACGGCUCACCUAGGCGACGAUCCCUAGCUGGUCUGAGAGGAUGACCAGCCACACUGGAACUGAGACACGGUCCAGACUCCUACGGGAGGCAGCAGUGGGGAAUAUUGCACAAUGGGCGCAAGCCUGAUGCAGCCAUGCCGCGUGUGUGAAGAAGGCCUUCGGGUUGUAAAGCACUUUCAGCGGGGAGGAAGGCGGUGAGGUUAAUAACCUUGUCGAUUGACGUUACCCGCAGAAGAAGCACCGGCUAACUCCGUGCCAGCAGCCGCGGUAAUACGGAGGGUGCAAGCGUUAAUCGGAAUUACUGGGCGUAAAGCGCACGCAGGCGGUCUGUCAAGUCGGAUGUGAAAUCCCCGGGCUCAACCUGGGAACUGCAUUCGAAACUGGCAGGCUAGAGUCUUGUAGAGGGGGGUAGAAUUCCAGGUGUAGCGGUGAAAUGCGUAGAGAUCUGGAGGAAUACCGGUGGCGAAGGCGGCCCCCUGGACAAAGACUGACGCUCAGGUGCGAAAGCGUGGGGAGCAAACAGGAUUAGAUACCCUGGUAGUCCACGCCGUAAACGAUGUCGAUUUGGAGGUUGUGCCCUUGAGGCGUGGCUUCCGGAGCUAACGCGUUAAAUCGACCGCCUGGGGAGUACGGCCGCAAGGUUAAAACUCAAAUGAAUUGACGGGGGCCCGCACAAGCGGUGGAGCAUGUGGUUUAAUUCGAUGCAACGCGAAGAACCUUACCUGGUCUUGACAUCCACAGAACUUUCCAGAGAUGGAUUGGUGCCUUCGGGAACUGUGAGACAGGUGCUGCAUGGCUGUCGUCAGCUCGUGUUGUGAAAUGUUGGGUUAAGUCCCGCAACGAGCGCAACCCUUAUCCUUUGUUGCCAGCGGUUCGGCCGGGAACUCAAAGGAGACUGCCAGUGAUAAACUGGAGGAAGGUGGGGAUGACGUCAAGUCAUCAUGGCCCUUACGACCAGGGCUACACACGUGCUACAAUGGCAUAUACAAAGAGAAGCGACCUCGCGAGAGCAAGCGGACCUCAUAAAGUAUGUCGUAGUCCGGAUUGGAGUCUGCAACUCGACUCCAUGAAGUCGGAAUCGCUAGUAAUCGUAGAUCAGAAUGCUACGGUGAAUACGUUCCCGGGCCUUGUACACACCGCCCGUCACACCAUGGGAGUGGGUUGCAAAAGAAGUAGGUAGCUUAACCUUCGGGAGGGCGCUUAACCACUUGAUUAACGGCC